RNAcentral lists this long non-coding RNA (4184 nucleotides) under Octopus vulgaris (common octopus). The record is from RNAcentral. Lineage: Eukaryota; Metazoa; Mollusca; Cephalopoda; Octopoda; Octopodidae.
UGGUCAUUGGGUAAUCACACCCUCCUGAAUGACUUGAUUAAUAAUCCAGGUGGUAAUCUUGCAUCCCACUUCCCCAGAUAUUUUAGGUUUUUCUACAGCUAUCCCUGAUGGACCCAUGAUUUUCCUCCUCUUCGUACCCUAUACACACACAAAAGACUUCCUUGAUAACACAGUGACAAAAUUAAUGGUUAUUUCUCGUAGUUGAAACAUUCAUGUGUGUCUGUGCAUGUAUACAUAUACACACACACACAAUGCACAGACAGAGAGACAGGGGAGAAUAAGUAAAAUACGCACACACACAUACACACAUCAGAAGAGUGACACAAUAUUUCGCAUUAUAUUUUUUGUAAACACCAAUUUAAAAUUAUAGAUACAAUUUUGGAACAUGUAUCUUUCGCUAAUACUUGCAAGGCAAUGUCACUGAUUAUACAUAUAUGCAGAGGUGGGCACCGUUAAUCGAAAAGUUAAUUUCGUUCAUUGUUAAUCCGUUAACCAAAAAGUUAAUUCUUUGAAAAUGUAACAGAAGCUAAUGUUAAUCCAUUAAUGUUAACUUUUAUUGAAAAAAGGCAUAACUACAGUAUAAUACCCCACCGACUUUGUUGCCUCAUAACUUCCAGGAAAACAGAUACUUUUUAACAAAACUUUCAUCAAAUAAUAGCUUAUAUUCUGUAGACUGAGUGUAUGUGAAGAUUUGUUGGGAAAAAUUUUCCGAGGGGUUGGGGAGAGGAGUUUCAGAAAAUUCACAGACCCCACAUUUUCCCACCUCAUAACUUUCUGGAAAAUAGGUAUUUUUUAACGAAAUUUUAUACAAAUACCUUUCAAACAGUGUAGAUUACAAUUACAAAGAAAUUUUUAGGCAAAAUUUUUGGAAAGGGAUGGGGGCAAAGAGUUUCUGGGAAAUGAAGUUUCAGAUCAGAUGGCCCACAUAAGUUGGAAUUUCUAUUUUUCUCAAUGUUUUUCACCAAAGUCUUCUGAAUGAUGAAAGGAAUCUUUUCACAAAAAAAAAGAAAAAUAUUCUGAAAAUUUUUUCAUUUCUGCCACCCCCUCACCACCCUAGUCCGAAACGAUUUUGGCCAUUUUUUGUUUUUACACUACACACUUAAAACCCAUGAGAGAAACAUUUUCAGCUUAAAAAACAAAUUGUUAAUAAUUUCAGAGGAAAAUGUGUGAUUUAAGGGAAAUCAGGCUGUUGUUUCUAGCACAUUCCCCAAACCUUCCUCCUCAUUUCUUUCUCACUCACACAUCUAUUGAUAUUUUUCAAUAUUUUUCUCCCCAUAAACAAAUUUUAUGGAAUGAUGAUGUCAAAGUAACACACAUGUAGUCCCAACCAAGCGAGGCCAUGUUAUGUGUGUGUGUAAGAAAAAAAAGCACCUAAAAAUGAUGCAUUCAAUAUUAAAUAUACUAAAACAAUCUGAAAACAAUAGAAACCUUUAAACGUUUACCAGUUUUUAUGAAAUUUUGGGGUUAAUGGACUUGAGUUAACAGGAGCUAAAUGUAAUGGAAGUUAAUUAGUCUGAUAAUGAUUUUCAAAGUUAACUUAAAAAUGUCAACUUCAUUAAUUAACGAUUAACAGAUUUAACUUAUAAAUGUUAACUUCGUUAAUUAACAAUUAACAGAUUAAUGGAUUUACACCCAGCUCUGCAUAUAUGUGUGUGUGUAUGCAUGCCUAUGUUUAGCUGGGUGUAUUUGUGUUUACAUACAGACACACACACACAUAUACUAUAUACACAUAUAUAUACAUACCAUACAUACCACUUAAUAAGAGUUUAACAGCUUGUUGUCCAGGUCUGUGCCAGCUAUAUCAUUACCAAAAACGAGACAGAUUGUGUUUUAUUAUAACACCAAGAGUGCAAAAGAAAUAAUUAAAGGCAUAACUAUGUACCACAAAAUAAAAAGAAAAAUGAAAAAUUACCAUCUAAUGUAAACUGGUAGCUAAAACCAAGUGAUAUUAAUGACAUUUUGUAUGAAGUAAAGAAUUUAAGUCCUUAUUGAGCAGCAGGGAUAUGAAGAGCAAUUAUAGAAGCUAAUGAUAAAUCAUUUCUCUUGAAUUGUCCCAGGAGUGCAAUAACAGAAUGUAUGAGACACUGAAGAAAAUACUCUUGAGGAAGGCAAGCUACAUUUUUCUUGGCCUCAACUUCAUAACAAGCUGAAAAUAGACACUAAUAACACUUUCAUGGUUGAUUAGCUAGUGUUUAGAAGAAUUGUUCAGUUGUGAAAGAUGUCCUUCUAUAAUUUAUAGAACUGCUUAAAUUUGUUGCAGCAUGGGUCAGUUUUUGCUAGCUAAAGCAAGACAGAUGCAAAAUAUUGGGUAAACAGAAUAAUUAACAGUGUCAUAUGGGAUUUGGAAAUCAAAAAUGGUUGAUAAGGUGCCAGCUUGAUAAAUGUGGGUAGUUUUUGUGACAUUAUGGUGGUAUGCACUAUUGAGGAUUUAACAUUUUUAUUUAAUUCUUCAAGCUGUACGCAUAAAAGAAAUUGAAUUAACUUCAUUUUUGUAUUUGGGAUGCAAGAUUUUGAUGUAAAUUCAUGUGCUGAAACAAAUCUCAAGGAAAACCUUAAUGAGAGAGGGCAUCUCAUAGAAGAGACCAUGAAUAACAAUGAAAGGACUGACAAACCAACAACCAAUUGAUUGUUUAUUCAAAACAUUAAACAAAUGAUCGAUUAGUUAGUUGAUUAGAUAUUUAACCAAUUGACUAUCUAUAAGGAAGUGAUAUUGAAGCAGUGUGUGUUUUUAUUGUUACCAGUAUCAUGACUCUCCAAAGACACAGCAAAAAUUGAACUAGGUUCUUGUCAAUGUUACAACACUGCCUCUUGAGCUAAUAUGAUAAGCCUGUAUGUAGCUGCUAAGCUAGCUGGAUAUAGCAAUUAAAUAUCACUCAAAUUACUCUCUAUCUUUAAAAAAGGGAAAAGACACAUUGGAUAAUUUAGUCCUAGAUAAACAAUGUCUGAAAUAAAAGUUGGAAUAGUCAUGGCUAUAGUACCUUUCAUAGGUUUGCUCGAUCAGGUCUGCUUAGAGCUAAACAGCAAUAUGCAUGCCACCACUGCUUAGAAUGGUGAAUUAUUCGCAACCUGUGGAACCUACUCUCAGCUAGCAGGUACCAAACCAUUUGUGAUUUGAGUUUCUUAGAUAUUGACACAAUGAGGUGUUUAUGACAAGAUAUGCACAGCUAAUGUUGACAUAUCUAUGCAGUAAAUAUCAAAAAUCUAAUUAGAAACAAUUAUGUAAUAAUGACUUAACCAAGUUACCAAUUAAACUUUUGAAGCCCAUCUUGCAUGUGUAUGUGAGUGUGUUUAUGCCUCCUUGUUUUGACAUCAAGUAAUAGUUGUAAAUGAGUGAUAUCAUCAUAUAAACUAUUCUUUGAAACAUGUCCAGCCAUGGGGAAAUAUUACCUUGCUUAUGAAUGAGGAAGGGUUGACAACAGGAAAGGCAUCCAGCUGUAGAAAAUCCACCUCAAAUUUCCUCUGGCUGAUAUAAGAAUGAAAAAAUGACGGUUAAAACAAUGAUGAUGAUGAUACUCUAAAAUAUGUUUAGUAAGUCACAUGACUGAUAGUGUAGUUACUAGUUUCAACACUUAUUGCUUCUCCUUUCAAGAAGGUAGUAUAUAGCAUAGAACUGUGCUGUACACACUCUCUAAUGUAGAUCUGACAAAUUUGAACAAAAUAAAAGUUAUGAUAAGGAAAUAAUGAACAUACAAUAAUAUGAUUAAUCUGUGGAAACCAUACUUAAACAAAAUGCAAGAGUAUGAGGCAUAAAAUAAAAGAGCAAAAACAUAGAUGUAGAGAUUUUAAGAAUGUGAAGUCAGGAGGUAGAGAGAAACACACAGAGAGAUAGAUAGAUAGAGGAGGAGUGAGUAAGAAAAUGUAAGAUUGAUGGGAAAUAUGAAGAAUAAUAAUGCUGGAGAAUGUUGAUGAAAACUGCUUUAUCUCAGAGACUCUUCCAAACAGAAGAAAUGGAAAAGGGAAAGAAAGAGUUACAAAGUAUUUUGAAAAAGAGAUGGAUAAAGGAAGAGAGAAGGGGAGUAGAUGGGACAAGAAGAGAAAGUAGAAAAUGACUGUGGAGAUGACAGAUAAGGUAUUAGAAGAGGUAAAUGUGCCCUAGACUUUGAAAGAAAAACAAUAAAUAAAUACAAUAAGAAGCAUUGUAAAUUGAAGAGAAUCAAAUAUUAAAAACAAAAAUAGAUAAAAAC